UACGUAGGGUGCGAGCGUUAAUCGGAAUUAUUGGGCGUAAAGCGCGCGCAGGCGGUCCUUUAAGUCUGAUGUGAAAGCCCACGGCUCAACCGUGGAGGGUCAUUGGAAACUGGGGGACUUGAGUACAGAAGAGAAGAGUGGAAUUCCACGUGUAGCGGUGAAAUGCGUAGAGAUGUGGAGGAACACCAGUGGCGAAGGCGACUCUUUGGUCUGUAACUGACGCUGAGGCGCGAAAGCGUGGGGAGCAAACAGG
Molecule: ribosomal RNA, 253 nt
Filed under: uncultured bacterium
Lineage: Bacteria
Description: partial 16S ribosomal RNA
Rfam family: Bacterial small subunit ribosomal RNA
Source: RNAcentral